This 468-nucleotide ribosomal RNA is filed under the name uncultured bacterium. RNAcentral's name for it is "partial 16S ribosomal RNA". It matches the Rfam family "Bacterial small subunit ribosomal RNA", at positions 28 to 507 of the family's 1533-position model. The record is from RNAcentral.
GACGAACGCUGGCGGCGUGCUUAACACAUGCAAGUCGAACGGAAAGGCACUGCUUUUGUGGGGUGCUCGAGUGGCGAACGGGUGAGUAACACGUGAGUAACCUGCCCUUGACUUUGGGAUAACUUCAGGAAACUGGGGCUAAUACAGGAUAGGAGCCCCUGCUGCAUGGUGGGGGUUGGAAAGUUUCGGCGGUUGGGGAUGGACUCGCGGCUUAUCAGCUUGUUGGUGGGGUAGUGGCUUACCAAGGCUUUGACGGGUAGCCGGCCUGGGAGGGUGACCGGCCUCAUUGGGACUGCGGUACGGCCCAGACUGCUACGGGGGGCAGCAGUGGGGAAUAUUGCACAAUGGGCGGACGCCUGAUGCAGCAACGCCGCGUGCGGGAUGACGUCCUUCUGGUUGUAAACCGCUUUCGCCUGUGACGAAGCGUGUGUGACGGUAAUGGGUAAAGAAGCACCGGCUAACUACGUG